ACAGGGAUUAGCCCAGCACCGAAGCCUUUGGCUUUUUGGCCUUUAGGCAAUGUGGUGUUCAGGUCGUCUCAUGGAGUUGCUGCCCCACCCUAAGUCCUACAAUGAGUAAGGUUACUCGGACGUGGCCCACAGAGGGUGAAAGGCCCGUGGGGGUGGGGACUGACUGGCCAGCUUCUCCCUGAUUGGACCUUGGAGUCAGGUUGUUUGUGAAUGCAGCCCAAAGUGGGUGGUAAACUCCAUCCAAGGCUAAAUACUAACACGAGUCCGAUAGCGAACAAGUACCGUGAGGGAAAGUUGAAAAGUACUUUGAAGAGAGAGUAAACAGUGCGUGAAACCGCUCAGAGGUAAACGGGUGGAGUUGAACUGCAAACUUUGGGAAUUCAGCUGGUGAGCGUGGCUUGAGCUUGGUCAAAUUGGUCGGCCUCCUGGGUCUGCUUAGCUGCAGGUCUCUGCCUUCGGGUAGGGAUGCGCGUUGCACUUAUCAUGUGUUGUGCGCCUAGGGGUGCUGCGGGCCUGUUUGCCAGUGCACUUUCUCUCAGUUAUCACCACGACCGGCGUUGCCAUCUGGCUGUUGUGGUCACACCGGCCUUGCAAGACUCUCGUGGUUUUGCUUGGUCGGGACGGCAGGUAGCUCGCUGUCCGCUUGUCGGGCUCUGGGUGUAACCGCCGGCUGCAUCAGUUCUGUGUGGUAUGUCGGAGACGGCGGCUUGUUGUGUGCGCGCGUGCCUGUUUCGCUCGCGGUGCCGGGUCUGGUUGUUAUGUUACCUGUUUUUACAGGGGUGGUGAUGUCCCGGUAUCGUUUGGUGGGCGGUUGCGUGUGCAUCACUUCAUAGGGCCAACAGUCUGUGGUGUAGUGGUAGACUAUCCACCUGACCCGUCUUGAAACACGGACCAAGGAGAGUAACAUGCGCGCGAGUCAUUGGGCGGUACGAAACCCAAAGGCGCAGUGAAAGUAAAGGUUCGGCUUGUCCGGACUAAGGUGAGAUCCUGUCGUUUCCCAUGCGUGGUACCACCAAGCUUCGAGCGUCAGGCGCAUCACCGGCCCGUCCCAUGGCGUAGACGCAGCCUUGUGCUAACGCACCGCCGGGGCGGAGCAUGAGCGUGCAUGUUGAGACCCGAAAGAUGGUGAACUAUGCUUGCGCAGGUUGAAGCCAGAGGAAACUCUGGUGGAGGACC
Molecule: ribosomal RNA, 1176 nt
Filed under: Rhytidodoides sp. CK-2020
Lineage: Eukaryota; Metazoa; Platyhelminthes; Trematoda; Plagiorchiida; Rhytidodidae
Description: partial 28S ribosomal RNA
Rfam family: Eukaryotic large subunit ribosomal RNA
Source: RNAcentral